GUGGCUGUAGCUCAGUUGGUUAGAGUACUAGGUUGUGGCCCUAGGGGUCGUGGGUUCGAGUCCCAUCAGCCACCCCA
This 77-nucleotide transfer RNA is filed under the name Clostridiales bacterium. RNAcentral describes it as "tRNA-His". It matches the Rfam family "tRNA". Rfam says of the family: Transfer RNA (tRNA) molecules are approximately 80 nucleotides in length. Their secondary structure includes four short double-helical elements and three loops (D, anti-codon, and T loops). Lineage: Bacteria; Bacillati; Bacillota; Clostridia; Eubacteriales. The record is from RNAcentral.